This 226-nucleotide long non-coding RNA is filed under the name Elaeis guineensis (African oil palm). Its description in RNAcentral is "long non-coding RNA (EGUI_LNC041572)". The record is from RNAcentral. Lineage: Eukaryota; Viridiplantae; Streptophyta; Magnoliopsida; Arecales; Arecaceae.
UGCCUGACGAGCCUCUCAAUUUAUCGCAGAGCUGUAGGCAAUCUUUAGUACCAUGAUCAUGGUCAUGAUGAUAGAGGCAAUAUUUAUUCAGAUCGCAGCGGUGCUCUGACUUCAUCCGCAUCUGUAGAGGCUGGGGCAACUCGACCCAGAUUUUCAUUAACACCUCCCCCCAAGAAAUAGUUAAGAGUGUGUAAUUAUUAUAAUGCCCAAGGGGUGAAGGUCAUCG